UUCUAAUAGAUAUAAUUAUUAGUAAAAUCUGCUCAAUGAAUAAUUAAAUAGCCGCAACUAUGUUGUGCUAAGGUAGCAUAAUCAUUUGUCUUUUAAUUAAAGACUAGAAUGAAUGAUUUAACAUUUUUAUCUCUUUCUUAAACAAAUUUACUUAAAAUUAUUUUAAAUAUAAAAAAAUAUUUAUAAAAUAAAAAGACGAUAAGACCCUAUUGAACUUCACUAAAGUUUUACUGGGGCAGUAAAUUAAUUAUUAUUUUAAUUUAUUUUUUUUUCCAAAAUAACCUGAUACAAUCAAUUAAUCAAGUUACCAUAGGGAUAACAGCGUAAUAAUUUUCUUAAGUUCUUAUUUAAAAAAUAGUUUGCGACCUCGAUGUUGAAUUAAUUACCUAAUAAAUGCAAUAAUUUAAUAAAGGAAGUCUGUUCGACUUUUAAUCAAUUACAU
Molecule: ribosomal RNA, 442 nt
Filed under: Agelenopsis aperta
Lineage: Eukaryota; Metazoa; Arthropoda; Arachnida; Araneae; Agelenidae
Description: partial 16S ribosomal RNA
Rfam family: Bacterial large subunit ribosomal RNA
Source: RNAcentral